Molecule: ribosomal RNA, 461 nt
Filed under: Prevotella sp. oral taxon G57
Lineage: Bacteria; Pseudomonadati; Bacteroidota; Bacteroidia; Bacteroidales; Prevotellaceae
Description: bacterial SSU rRNA
Rfam family: Bacterial small subunit ribosomal RNA
Source: RNAcentral
GAUGAACGCUGGCUACAGGCUUAACACAUGCAAGUCGAGGGGAAACGGCAUUGGGUGCUUGCACCGAAUGGACGUCGACCGGCGCACGGGUGAGUAACGCGUAUCCAACCUUCCCGUUACUGCGGGAUAACCUGCCGAAAGGCAGACUAAUACCGCAUGUUCUUCGAUGACGGCAUCAGAUUCGAAGCAAAGAUCCGUCGGUAACGGAGGGGGAUGCGUCUGAUUAGCUUGUUGGCGGGGCGACGGCCCACCAAGGCGACGAUCAGUAGGGGUUCUGAGAGGAAGGUCCCCCACAUUGGAACUGAGACACGGUCCAAACUCCUACGGGAGGCAGCAGUGAGGAAUAUUGGUCAAUGGGCGGAAGCCUGAACCAGCCAAGUAGCGUGCAGGAUGACGGCCCUACGGGUUGUAAACUGCUUUUAUGCGGGGAUAAAGUGAGGGACGCGUCCCUUUUUGCAGGU